Podarcis lilfordi (Lilford's wall lizard) is the source of this 70-nucleotide non-coding RNA. NCBI's taxonomy places the organism in Eukaryota, Metazoa, Chordata, Lepidosauria, Squamata, Lacertidae. The record is from the annotation of a GenBank genome assembly.
GAACAGCUCAGCUGGUCAGAGCCUGGCGCUGAAAACGUCAAGGUGGCAGGUUCGAUCCCUGCAGGGGACG